Molecule: ribosomal RNA, 582 nt
Filed under: Clanculus jussieui
Lineage: Eukaryota; Metazoa; Mollusca; Gastropoda; Trochida; Trochidae
Description: partial 16S ribosomal RNA
Rfam family: Bacterial large subunit ribosomal RNA
Source: RNAcentral
UGCUCCUCGGAUAAGAAAAUAGUAUGGGGAGUCGGACCUGCCCGGUGACUAACAUGUUAAACGGCCGCGGUACCCUAACCGUGCAAAGGUAGCAUAAUCAUUUGCCUUUUAAUUGGAGGCUUGUAUGAAUGGUUUGACGAGAGCUGAGCUGUCUCUUUUGAAAUAUUUAGAAAUUAACUUUUAGGUGAAGAGGCCUAAAUGCUGUUGAGGGACAAGAAGACCCUGUUGAGCUUUAGUGGAGUGAUGGGGUAAAUAAUUGAGUUGUAAUUAGUAAACUUUAUCUGUGAUACAGAAUGUUUUCCUGUUAUUAAUCUUUAGUUGGGGCGACUGAGGAACAUUAAAAGCUUCCUUUAAAAUUAUGAAUGUUAGCUAAUUUAUGAAGCUGAGAUAAAUGUAGACGAAUUGUAAUCGGGAUCCAGUAAGUAAAGUAUUGAUUAAAGGAAAAAGUUACCACAGGGAUAACAGCGUAAUCUUUCUGGAGAGAUCUUAUCGAAAGGAGGGUUUGCGACCUCGAUGUUGGACUAAGAUAUCCUAAGGGUGUAGAAGCUCUUGAUGGUUGGUCUGUUCGACCAUUAAAAUCUU